GGGACCCCAUAGGGACACAUAGGGACCCCAUAGGGAUACAUAGGGACACAUAGGGAUACAUUGGGAGCCCAUAGAGAAGCGCUGCGCAUAUGGAUGGACGCACUGCUGGCCGCCAUCCGCCAGGGGGAGCCCGAGAGCACACAUAGGGAUACAUAGGGACACACUGGGAGCCCAUAGGGAUACAUUGGGACACAUAGAGACCCCAUAGGGACACCAUAGGGACACAUAGGGACCCCAUAGGGACACAUAGGGACACAUAGGGACCCCAUAGGGAC
This 275-nucleotide long non-coding RNA is filed under the name Gallus gallus (chicken). The record is from RNAcentral. Lineage: Eukaryota; Metazoa; Chordata; Aves; Galliformes; Phasianidae.